This 323-nucleotide long non-coding RNA is filed under the name Trifolium pratense (red clover). RNAcentral's name for it is "long non-coding RNA (TPRA_LNC012476)". The record is from RNAcentral. Lineage: Eukaryota; Viridiplantae; Streptophyta; Magnoliopsida; Fabales; Fabaceae.
UCCUCUUUCACCUUUUGAUUGAAUGUUUUGCAACAUGUUGACUCGAAAACCAUAUUGACAUUAGGAGAGAUUCUAUAUCUAAAACAGUAUAGAGACUUGUUCAUGAUAGAACAUAUGCAACAACAGAAUAAUAUUCAUCUGGUAGACCAUACAGAAUCACUUGGACAUUGUUCAUGAUCAUCAAUUGGGGAACCAAUAGCAACAAAAGAGUAUUAACUAUCAACAAUUUUCUGAAUUGUUUCAAGAUAUUAAUUGAUCAUAGAACAAAAAGAGUACUAGGAUGACAUUUGGAGUGAAACUCGAUAUAGAACAAAAAUAUUAUU